UACGUAGGUGGCAAGCGUUGUCCGGAAUUAUUGGGCGUAAAGCGCGCGCAGGCGGCCUCUUAAGUCUGAUGUGAAAGCCCCCGGCUCAACCGGGGAGGGCCAUUGGAAACUGGGAGGCUUGAGUAUAGGAGAGAAGAGUGGAAUUCCACGUGUAGCGGUGAAAUGCGUAGAGAUCCGGAGGAACACCAGAGGCGAAGGCGGCCGGCUGGCCGAGUGCUGACGCUCAGGUGCGAAAGCGUGGGGAGCAAACAGG
Molecule: unclassified non-coding RNA, 253 nt
Filed under: uncultured Caryophanales bacterium
Lineage: Bacteria; Bacillati; Bacillota; Bacilli; Caryophanales
Description: uncultured Bacillales bacterium contains 16S-23S intergenic spacer region
Rfam family: Bacterial small subunit ribosomal RNA
Source: RNAcentral